Molecule: ribosomal RNA, 678 nt
Filed under: Bacillus safensis
Lineage: Bacteria; Bacillati; Bacillota; Bacilli; Caryophanales; Bacillaceae
Description: bacterial SSU rRNA
Rfam family: Bacterial small subunit ribosomal RNA
Source: RNAcentral
AGUCUGACGGAGCAACGCCGCGUGAGUGAUGAAGGUUUUCGGAUCGUAAAGCUCUGUUGUUAGGGAAGAACAAGUGCGAGAGUAACUGCUCGCACCUUGACGGUACCUAACCAGAAAGCCACGGCUAACUACGUGCCAGCAGCCGCGGUAAUACGUAGGUGGCAAGCGUUGUCCGGAAUUAUUGGGCGUAAAGGGCUCGCAGGCGGUUUCUUAAGUCUGAUGUGAAAGCCCCCGGCUCAACCGGGGAGGGUCAUUGGAAACUGGGAAACUUGAGUGCAGAAGAGGAGAGUGGAAUUCCACGUGUAGCGGUGAAAUGCGUAGAGAUGUGGAGGAACACCAGUGGCGAAGGCGACUCUCUGGUCUGUAACUGACGCUGAGGAGCGAAAGCGUGGGGAGCGAACAGGAUUAGAUACCCUGGUAGUCCACGCCGUAAACGAUGAGUGCUAAGUGUUAGGGGGUUUCCGCCCCUUAGUGCUGCAGCUAACGCAUUAAGCACUCCGCCUGGGGAGUACGGUCGCAAGACUGAAACUCAAAGGAAUUGACGGGGGCCCGCACAAGCGGUGGAGCAUGUGGUUUAAUUCGAAGCAACGCGAAGAACCUUACCAGGUCUUGACAUCCUCUGACAACCCUAGAGAUAGGGCUUUCCCUUCGGGGACAGAGUGACAGGUGGUGCAUGGU